This 332-nucleotide ribosomal RNA is filed under the name uncultured bacterium. Its description in RNAcentral is "bacterial SSU rRNA". It matches the Rfam family "Bacterial small subunit ribosomal RNA", at positions 568 to 898 of the family's 1533-position model. The record is from RNAcentral.
CACGCAGGCGGUCAACCAAGUUCGGAGUGACAGUUUCCGGCUUAACUGGGAAAGGUCUUCGAAAACUGGUGGACUUGAGAGCUUGAGGGGGAGACGGAAUUCCGGGUGGAGCGGUGAAAUGCGUAGAGAUCCGGAGGAACACCGAAGGCGAAGGCAGUCUCCUGGCAAGUUUCUGACGCUCAGGUGCGAAAGCUAGGGGAGCGAACAGGAUUAGAUACCCUGGUAGUCCUAGCCGUAAACGAUGACCACUAGGCGUGGGAGGUAUCGACCCCUUCCGUGCCGCAGCUUACGCAAUAAGUGGUCCGCCUGGGGAGUACGGUCGCAAGAUUAAA